This is a non-coding RNA of Bos taurus (domestic cattle), 73 nucleotides long. The record is from Rfam. Lineage: Eukaryota; Metazoa; Chordata; Mammalia; Artiodactyla; Bovidae.
UCCCUGGUGGUUCAGUGGUUAAGACUUUGCACUUCCAUUGCAGGGGGAGUGGGUUCAAUCCCUACUCAGGGAA